This 253-nucleotide ribosomal RNA is filed under the name uncultured bacterium. Its description in RNAcentral is "partial 16S ribosomal RNA". It matches the Rfam family "Bacterial small subunit ribosomal RNA", at positions 524 to 776 of the family's 1533-position model. The record is from RNAcentral.
UACGGAGGGAGUUAGCGUUGUUCGGAAUUAUUGGGCGUAAAGGGCUCGUAGGCGGUUUGUCGCGUCGGGAGUGAAAACCUCGGGCUUAACUCGGGGCUUGCUUUCGAUACGGGCAGACUAGAGGUAUGCAGGGGAGAACGGAAUUCCUGGUGUAGCGGUGAAAUGCGCAGAUAUCAGGAGGAACACCGAUGGCGAAGGCAGGUCUCUGGGCCACUACUGACGCUGAGAAGCGAAAGCAUGGGGAGCGAACAGG